Molecule: long non-coding RNA, 6723 nt
Organism: Gallus gallus (chicken)
Lineage: Eukaryota; Metazoa; Chordata; Aves; Galliformes; Phasianidae
Exons: 7
Source: RefSeq, a predicted model, not a curated record
UUAGUGAGAACCAUUGGUGAAGGGCGAACGAGUGGUUGGACUGGAUGAUCCUGUGGGUCUUUUCUAACCCUAGCGAUUCUAUGAUUCUAUAAUUCUAAAGUGUCAACCUAUCAGUUGAAUUUUGGACUGAGGUGUAAAGCCAUAGAACCUUAACCUUUCACCUAGACACUAUACGUUUUUAUCAUUUUUGAUGCAGUCGCUUACAGAUUCAUCUUAUUUAUGCUGUUUGCCAUUUGCACAUCCACUCGACAUUUCAGAUUUUGAGUGUAAACAAUUCAUAUUUGAUUCAUAACAAUAACAAUUCAUUUUGAGAAAUUCAUAUGAAAUGGCACGAAAAAAAUAUUGUUUAUUUUAAACUACCAACAUCAGAUUUUGGAGUUCUUGAAACCAUCUUCACUGUUGCUGGACUACUUGAGUGUAAUCAUAGGAAAUUUUGCUUAAAUUUUAGUAUUAAUUCCCUGUUUAGGUUGUUUGACUAAUAUUAGAAAUUUCAAUGACUAAUCAUGUAUAUAUUUUCAUUUAUUUCCCAAAGUAAAAUGUUCCUACUUUUUUUUUUUUUUUUUUUUUUUUUUAAGAAUAUGUUUUUUGUAAAGUGUGAUUUCUGUCACUUAAAACACUAUGGGAAACUUUCAAAUUAAUUAAUUUAAUUUAAUUUAAUUUAAUUAAUUCAUUGAUGAAGCUAAACCUAUAUUUGCGCUUUCGGAAAAAUGUAUAAGAGUAUUUUCACAAGCUGGGGGUCCUCUUUAGUUUUAAUGGAUGCUAGUACCAUGACCUUUUUUCUUGAAAAGCUCAUGGAAAACUUCAGGGCAGGGGGAUGAAAUAUUUUGAUUGGCAGAAAAGAUGGGAUGUUUAUAAUUUUAAUCAAAUUUAGAAUCAAGACAUACUUCAAAUAAUAUGUCAGACUAGUGUUAAUGAGUUUAAAAUCUAAUGACAACAGCUGUCAUUAUUAGUUAAAUAUAGCCAAUGUGCCUAUGGCAAUAAGUGACACUUCUGAACAUGUAGAAACAAAAAAUUCUCAAGUAUUUAGAGAAAAGGGAGUGACUGUAAACUUAUCUAAACCCAGGAAUGUGACCUGGGCAUAAUGUAUUUCCCAAGUACAGAGGCUUCUGUAAUUUGGACAAAAGAAGUAAUUGAAUGCAACAUUACGUGUUGUUACUACUAGAACGCUCAUAUUUUAGGAAACUUGGACAUUUUUCUUGUUUCAUAAAUAUAUUUCAGAGAAGUUUGUAAUUUGUUACAUUAUAUAUUAAAAAGUUUCAGAUUAAUUUCUGCAUUACUGUGUUGUUCCCUUUAAAAUGCAUUGCUCGGUUUUCAGAAUCUUUAUUAAAAAGUAUUAACUGGGGAAAUUGUGCCCUGUGUUUAAUAGAAACAAAUAUUUUUUUGCAGAUUAAGUUUUGGAUUUAUGAGGUUAUCAAAGUUCAAUUAUACAUUUAUUGGAAUUUAUUUCUAACAGGAUGUGAGAAAAGGGAAAGAAAUUAUAUGUGUAUGUACAUAUAAAUAACACAGUACGUAUCAUACUAUAUCAGUGUAUUUGUAAUACCAUUUGGUAGUUCCUUUAAGCCUGGAAGUCUGUUUCUUUUUAUUAUCAUUUAAAUAAAGUUUCUUAUAACUGUGUAAAUCUUGUUAUGCAAUGAUGAUGUAAAACAAUCCAGAAUGAAGGAGGUAGGUGAUGGGAAAACAAGAAAACUGAGUUACUAUAUUUUGAAAUAAGUUUGUUGUAUUGAAAAAUUUAUUUAAUGCUUAUAAAUUACCUGGACUUAGAUCAUGAAUCAUCAGUUCAGUAUUUAGAUAGGGAAUUUCAAAUUAAAAUGUAAGUGCUCUGUGAAUCUAUAUUUGUAAUUCUGUAAGCCAUGUUCUUCAACCUUUUUAGCAAACUCUUGUGUCUUCAUAUCACAAGGAAUCCUUUUGCUGCAGGAAGGGAUUACAUGAAAUAGGGAUAUGAAAUAUAAUUCUGACAUUUUGAGAUGAUUUAAAAAAUUUGCAACCACUUUAAUUAGCAGUACCAACGUUACCAUGUGUUUUGAGACAGUUCCACUUCGGUAAUGCACUCUACUUAUCCACAGGUCUAACUGUCAUUUCAGUUUACUGAGUUAAUCUUCACUUUCUGUACAAAAGUUUUUACUAGUUUUGCUGAUCUUGUUUAGACAUUUCAACAACUAACAUUAAGCACAAUACCAACCAUAUUUAUUUUUUGACAAUUAUGAUACUUUAUAAUAUAAACUAAAUAUUGUGUAUAAAAAGCUAGGUUAAGAUUUGUAAAUUUGCAAAAUCAAGCACCUAGUGAUUAAGACAACAAAUCACAUGGUGACAGGAUUAUUGAAAACCACAGAAUAAUUCAGUAUGUGAGGUGCCCCUGCAGGUCAUCUGCUCAAAGCAGGGCUGACUUCGACAAGUAGGCUAGGUUGUUUGGGGCAUUCUCCAGUUAAAUUCUGAAAAUUUCCAAAGAUGGAGAUUCCUCAGCUUCUCUGGGCAAGCCAUUUCACUGCUUAAUUACUGUGAUUCUUUUUCGCCUUACAUUUAGUUAAGUCUUCCCAUGCUGUGUCUGUGACUGCUUUAUCAUGUCCUUUCAUUGUGCCUCUAUGAGAGUCUCUCUCUCUCUUUUCUAUGUAGGUUGCUCUGAAAGUAAUUCCUCCUAUUUGUUUCCAUGGAAGUGACAACACUGUUUGAUAGAGCAAAUUCUCAGCUACUGAACACUAUUUUUCAACGUUGUCAGCUCCAUUAGCUAUGCAUUUUCACCAGUGUUGAAGAAGAGUGUGCAUGCCUUGCUGGUACAAAUCUGUACCAGUGGAAAUGACACAUUGUUUCACAGUUGACACAAUGUCAUUGUUCCUAGGAAAAUGUUGCCCAUGCAGUCCGUCUUUCACUGGCCUGAAGAGAUGGAAGUCAAAAGGUGCUAAAUCUGGAUCAUUCGGUAGGGCAGUCCAGCCAAGACCAUCUGUCAUUAAUGAGGAAAGUAACUCGGAUAGUGAAUGGCCUGGUUCUUCAUAACAGUUUCAACAAAAAGAAAAUGAAGCUGUCAUUUCCAACUGCAUGUAGAAUAUUGUUGACAAGAAUUCUGACAGGUUUAUAGUGUUUAAGAACUGGAUAGGGCAGGAUAAUUCCAAGACUAUUGCAUCACAAAAUCAAAUUGAAAAGGUGAUUGAAAACUGAGUAUGAAUUUUAAUUCUCCAGUAAGAUAGUACUACAAUAUAUGUGGAGAAAUCACUGGCAAUGUUAUAAGUACUCCUGUGCUUGACAGAUGCCUGCAAAAUUCCAUCACUCUUUUCAAUGGACCUGUUUGGGUCUCUGAGAGAGAAGGUUUCAGCCUCUUAAGAGCAAAGAUUUAUAUCCAAGAAGCUCUAUUGGCCCUGCACCAACGAUUGCAAGUCUGCAAACUGUUGCAAGCCGCUGCACUGAAGAAACAAUGUAUGUGCAACAAAGGGAUGGAGACUUUUACACAAUUUGCGAGUUAAAAAACAUUCCUGGGAAGUUAAGCAUUCAUUAGAGUGCUCCUGAAGGGGCCCUUUACUACUUCUCUUAUAGACUGAACCACAUAGCAGUGAAACUGAUUUUGCUUCAGCAACUGGAUUUUCAGCUUGAGCUGUGGUAGCAUUUGGAGCAGAGUCUGUGCAGAAUAUCAGGUCAAAUCUUAGGAGGACAACAAAAAUAUGAACAGUGUGAACACUAUGAUCUUCAGCAUACAGUGUUGACAGAGGAUCUCCUUUUUAUUUGUGUGUGUAGAGGUCAAGGUUCUCCUCAGAAUUCUGUCUGAAUUUGGAUGUUUUGUAGGUCAGCUGGCUCAUACAUGUUGCUCUCAGCAGUGGAGAGUACCUAUGGGUGUCGAUGGAAUUCUGGUAUUCACUGAAGUAUUGUGUGGCUUUUUCUUUAUUUCAGCAGCCUUGUCCUCUUAAAAAUAAAUAAAUAAAGGAUUGGAUUGAAUUAACACAACAGUAAUUCUUGCUGCUAAAGAUUGUUCAAAUUGUACUUUCAUCAAUCAUGUUCAAAUGGUCAGAUGCUUGGAUAUUUAAAAAAUGUUUACAGAAAUGUUGGGAACAUCCACGGUACUGGUAACCUUGGGAAAACUGGGAAAAGAAAAGAUAAAAGAAACCUCACAUGUCCAGUAGGAAACCAGCAGCAGUCUUCCAUUUCCACCUUCUUGUCCUUUUAUAUGGACAUUGGAUUACACUCAGUUACUCACACACCUUCAACAGUGACAAAAUGGAGGCAGUCUUCCCAUUACGUUGUCUGUUAUCUGGAAUUAUUCUAGAAUGCUUUGAAAACUUUGAAAAUAAAAUACCGUUGCCAGCUGUACCAUUCCUUGUUUCAUUAGGCAUACUGAUUAUUCAAUAUAGAAAUUAUUGUAAUUUGUAUACUAUAUGGAUAGAGUUUCUGAUAUUUAAUAACUACAACACUUCAGUUCUAACCUGUGUAUCUUUUGUGCAGGGAAAAUAUACUAAUGGUUAGUGGUAGGUCUGCUUGAAGCAUUUUCUACUUCUCUAUGUAUUUCCUAUCACAUUCAGUUUAUCUGUAGUGUCACGUUAUUUUAAGUUGCAGCAUAUGUAGGCCAACAAAAACUGACAUAAAGGAAAGCAGCAGAGUACAGUGUAAUGAUAUGUGACACAUCAUUCAGACUGGGAAGGAAACUCACUUUCUUGGAAUUAAUACCUGUUACUUACUGUGUAUGCCAUUAGUAUACACUCUCCUCUGUGAAAUCAAGGUAGAGUUUACUUUAUUAUGUGAGAGAAUACUAUUUUGUACUGAAAAAAACAGCAAAAUCAUGAGGUAAAUUUUUAAGAUACUGGUUAAUAAUUUGAUCCUGAUUUUGUUUUUCCAUUUCCCAAACUCUUCUUUCUUAAGCAGAAAAGAAACAUUAAUCUUCAUUUUUUUCUCCCUGAAGUGUUUAUUAGCCAAAAAAUGUAAUGAUACCCUUAUUUGUCCAACUCCUAGCUCCACACAGUACCACCAAAAACCAAACUCCGUGUCUGAGAACACUGUCCAAAUACUCCUUGAAUGCUCUCUGAUAGUUUUAUGUCCGUCUUUUAACACUGUGGUGCACAAACCUGCACCCAGUGCUUGAGGUGAGUGUGGGCAAAGUGCAGGGCAGAAGGAAGACAACACCUCCCCUUGCACUGCGGCAGUGCUGGGCCUGAUGCACCUCAGGUUAUGGUUAGCCCUUUUUGCUUCCAGUGCACACUGCUAGCUCAAGCUCAACUUUGCUAUCAGUCAGAAGCUCCAGAUACUUUUCUGUGGGGCUGCUCUCCAGCCUCUUAUCCCCCAGUCUGUAUGUGUAUCCAAAGUUUACUCCAUCCCAUGUGCAGAACCUGGCACUUGCUCUUGGUAAACUGCCCAUGGUUGUUGAUUGCCCAGCCCCCAGAGAUCUCUCUGCCCCUGAGGGAAUCAGCAGCUCCUCCCAUAUUACUGUAGUUUGCAAACUGUAUACCUUCAAGUCCUGCAUCCAAGUCACUGAUGAGACCAUUAAAGAGAUCUGGGCUUGAAAUGUUUGAUUCAGGGUUGAGCUAGCUGCAAAAUAAUUUUUCUGUCCUGGGAAAGUUAGAGGUUUUUUUUGUUUGUUUGUUUUUUUGGUCACAAUUUGCACCAGGAAGUUAUUUUUGUGUUCACUUUCCUGAAAGAGAGAGGUUUUCCUGAGUACCUACAAUGGGUGUUUAAUGCAAAGGAAAUGGAGGCCUAUAAAUCCCAAGUAGAACUUGGUGGAAGUAAGGACUCCCUGUUCUGCUGCCCUGCUGUCAGUCUUACUGGCAAAAAUGUGCCAUGCAGUGAGCUGGGUUGGAGUACCCAUGUGGUUACUAUCUAUCGUUCCACUGGAGCAAUUUUGGCUUGGAUUUGUUGUUAUUUGAAUGUCUGUCAAAUGCUUUGUUAUGGCAGAAGAAAUGAUGACCUGGAGUCGGAGAGAAAAGGUGAAAAUUGCAGGAGAAAGAGACCAGAACCAUUUUUUUAUUUUAUUUAUGUAUUUUUUAGCAGUACUGAUAAGAAAAGUGAGCAUAAAGUGCUUUAGAGGAAGAACCUGAUAUUUAAGGAAAUUGACUCUAACCUCUCAAUUCACGUAGCCAGGUCUGAAAACAGCAAUCUUAAUCACUGUAUUGCAUCAGAUAAAAAUGCAGAUGAAACCAAAGCAGCACAGAAAAGUUUCAUAAUACAUUCCAUAUCCAAGGUGAUAAACAGAAGAGUUAAUGUUAUUGAUUCCUAAGGAAUGGUUUUCCUUGAGGAGUAAUAGCACCCCACUGUUUGCUAUACUCUUGCUGUCGGGCAGGGAUUUAUCUUGAAGGAAAAUGUAACGUGUUCCUAAACUGAAAAUAUCUGCACUCACAGGAAAAGUCUGGAAGAAGGCUAAAAGAAAAGUGAUGCAGCUGGACCUAAAAACCUGAGCUUUAUUAUUAAGCGUGUCUAGUAAAAUUUCAGGCCAGAACAGCAAAAUAUCAGCUUUAUAUUCUUAAGAUAUGAACAAAAAAAGUCUUCUCAGAUUCUGAAAGUACACUUCAGUUUUGGUGUUUAGCAUUGGAAGUUUUACUCAAUCAGUAGAAUGUCCAUACAGAACUGGCUUUGGAAAAUGUUCAUAUAUAUUGUAAUGAUACUUGCGUUAUUGAAAUUACUUAUGUUGGUAUAUUCAUGGCUGAUGGAACUGAAAAAUGUUGUCUUUCUUAUGCUUGUGAGACACUCCUGUCUGUAACCAUAAAUGUGUGAUAGGUUAUGUAUUAAUAAAUAAAUUUCAGUUUGCUAAUAUUAAAU